This 319-nucleotide ribosomal RNA is filed under the name uncultured bacterium. RNAcentral's name for it is "bacterial SSU rRNA". It matches the Rfam family "Bacterial small subunit ribosomal RNA", at positions 470 to 789 of the family's 1533-position model. The record is from RNAcentral.
UGACGGUACCUGACUAAAAGCCCCGGCUAACUACGUGCCAGCAGCCGCGGUAAUACGUAGGGGGCAAGCGUUAUCCGGAUUUACUGGGUGUAAAGGGAGCGUAGACGGUCUGGCAAGUCUGAUGUGAAAUGCGGGGGCUCAACCCCUGGACUGCAUUGGAAACUGUCUGACUGGAGUGCCGGAGAGGUAAGCGGAAUUCCUAGUGUAGCGGUGAAAUGCGUAGAUAUUAGGAGGAACACCAGUGGCGAAGGCGGCUUACUGGACGGUAACUGACGUUGAGGCUCGAAAGCGUGGGGAGCGAACAGGAUUAGAUACCCUG